RNAcentral lists this ribosomal RNA (200 nucleotides) under Phyla nodiflora. RNAcentral describes it as "5.8S ribosomal RNA". The stretch from base 5 to 160 matches the Rfam family "5.8S ribosomal RNA". Rfam says of the family: 5.8S ribosomal RNA (5.8S rRNA) is a component of the large subunit of the eukaryotic ribosome. The record is from RNAcentral. Lineage: Eukaryota; Viridiplantae; Streptophyta; Magnoliopsida; Lamiales; Verbenaceae.
UAACGACUCUCGGCAACGGAUAUCUCGGCUCUCGCAUCGAUGAAGAACGUAGCGAAAUGCGAUACUUGGUGUGAAUUGCAGAAUCCCGUGAACCAUCGAGUCUUUGAACGCAAGUUGCGCCCGAAGCCAUUAGGCCGAGGGCACGUCUGCCUGGGCGUCACGCAUCGCGUCGCCCCGCUCUCCCGCUCCCCGAAUGGGGA